AUUGAACGCUGGCGGAACGCUUUACACAUGCAAGUCGAACGGCAGCACGGACUUCGGUCUGGUGGCGAGUGGCGAACGGGUGAGUAAUGUAUCGGAACGUGCCCAGUCGUGGGGGAUAACGUAGUGAAAAUUACGCUAAUACCGCAUACGAACUAUGGAUGACAGCGGGGGAUCGCAAGACCUCGCCCGCUUGCAGCGCCCGAUAUCAGAUUAGGUAGUUGGUGGGGUAAAGGCCCACCAAGCCAACGAUCUGUAGCUGGUCUGAGAGGACGACCAGCCACACUGGAACUGAGACACGGUCCAGACUCCUACGGGAGGCAGCAGUGGGGAAUUUUGGACAAUGGGCGAAAGCCUGAUCCAGCCAUUCCGCGUGCAGGAUGAAGGCCCUCGGGUUGUAAACUGCUUUUGUACAGAACGAAAAGGUUUCUACUAAUACUAGGAGCUCAUGACGGUACUGUAAGAAUAAGCACCGGCUAACUACGUGCCAGCAGCCGCCGUAA
RNAcentral lists this ribosomal RNA (500 nucleotides) under uncultured bacterium. RNAcentral describes it as "partial 16S ribosomal RNA". It matches the Rfam family "Bacterial small subunit ribosomal RNA", at positions 30 to 523 of the family's 1533-position model. The record is from RNAcentral.